UCAUUUAGUUAUGAAUGGAUUACUGUACGUUCCCAAAGGUCAGCGGCCCCUCAAACCUUCACCUACAAAAUGUCACUCAAAGAAACAAAACUAAAAAGAGAAAAUUACUUCAAAGAGACACAAAACGACUACAAAGAGACACAAAACGACCAUAGAGACACAAAACGACUACAAAGAGACACAAAACGACUUCAAAGAGACACAAAGCGACUACGAAGAGACACAAAAUGACCAUAGAGAAACACAAAACGACUACAAAGAGACACAAAACGACUACAAAGAGACACAAAACGACUACAAAGACACAAAACGACUACAAAGAGACACAAAACGACUACAAAGACACAAAACGACUACAAAGAGACACAAAACGACUACAAAGACACAAAACGACUACAAAGAGACACAAAACGACUACAAAGACACAAAACGACUACAAAGAGACACAAAACGACUACAAAGAGACACAAAGUGACUACAAAGAGACACAAAGUGACUACAAAGAGACACAAAGUGACUACAGAGAGACACAAAAAGACUACAGAGAGACACGGUAGACAUCAUGUUUGACUCUUUGUUUCCAGAUUUUCAAUAAACAUUAAAUUAGAACAGCAACGAUUUCUUGAUCAAUUAGAGAAAUAAUACAUAUCC
Molecule: long non-coding RNA, 651 nt
Filed under: Cottoperca gobio
Lineage: Eukaryota; Metazoa; Chordata; Actinopteri; Perciformes; Bovichtidae
Description: lncRNA (ENSCGOG00000010794.1)
Source: RNAcentral